ACUGAGCCUGACUCCCCAUCUCCCGUGCUCCAGGGCGAGGAGUCCUCAGAGAGGGAGAGCCUGCCAGAGUCCUUGGAACUGAGCUCCCCUAGGUCCCCCGAGACUGACUGGGGGCGGCCUCCUGGAGGCGACAAAGACCUCGCCAGCCCUCACUUAGGUCUUGGGUCUCCGAGGGUCUCCCGGGCUUCCAGCCCUGAGGGUCGCCACCUCCCUUCCCCACAGCUAGGAACCAAGGCCCCGGUGGCCCGGCCCCGGAUGAGUGCCCAGGAGCAGCUGGAGCGGAUGCGCAGAAACCAGGAAUGUGGACGGCCCUUCCCUCGCCCGACCUCCCCCCGGCUUCUCACCCUGGGAAGGACACUGUCCCCAGCCAGACGCCAGCCUGACGUGGAGCAAAGGUCCAAGGAACACCACCCCUUACUUGCCGACUUCCGAAGGUCACCGGGAGCGGGUUCUCAGCCUCUCCCAAGCCCUGGCUACUGAGGCGUCGCAGUGGCACAGAAUGAUGACAGGUGGAAAUUUGGACUCCCAGGGAGACCCUCUUCCCGGUGUGCCGCUGCCUCCUUCGGACCCCACGCGCCAGGAGACCCCUCCCCCCAGAUCUCCCCCGGUGGCUAAUUCGGGUUCCACGGGGUUCUCUCGCCGAGGGAGUGGGCGUGGAGGAGGUCCCACCCCCUGGGGGCCCGCGUGGGAUGCCGGGAUCGCCCCUCCGGUCCUGCCACAAGACGAGGGGGCAUGGCCUCUGCGAGUCACUCUGCUACAAUCCAGCUUCUAAUCCGCCCAAAAGCGGCAGCCAAUCGGAGCGCGA
RNAcentral lists this long non-coding RNA (805 nucleotides) under Homo sapiens (human). Its description in RNAcentral is "HSALNT0261208". Lineage: Eukaryota; Metazoa; Chordata; Mammalia; Primates; Hominidae. The record is from RNAcentral.